GCCUACGGGGGGCAGCAGUGAGGAAUAUUGGUCAAUGGGCGAGAGCCUGAACCAGCCAAGUCGCGUGAGGGAGUACUGCCCUAUGGGUUGUAAACCUCUUUUGUCGGAGAACAAAACCCGGGACGUGUCCCGGACUGCGUGUAUCCGAAGAAAAAGCAUCGGCUAACUCCGUGCCAGCAGCCGCGGUAAUACGGAGGAUGCGAGCGUUAUCCGGAUUUAUUGGGUUUAAAGGGUGCGUAGGCGGUCCGUUAAGUCAGCGGUAAAAUUGCGGGGCUCAACCCCGUCGAGCCGUUGAAACUGGCAGC
RNAcentral lists this ribosomal RNA (305 nucleotides) under uncultured bacterium. Its description in RNAcentral is "bacterial SSU rRNA". It matches the Rfam family "Bacterial small subunit ribosomal RNA", at positions 337 to 640 of the family's 1533-position model. The record is from RNAcentral.